CAGAGUCUUGAGAUAAAAAGGCCAAAUUGGAAUUUCACUUGAUGGAGUCCUGCACAUCAGAUCCCCUCCUAUCUGGGGCUGCCAGUAAUGCAGCAGAAAUGCCAAAAUGAGAGGUAUUAGGUAGAAAACUCACAGCAGCCUGCUUUUCUGGAACUGGACAAGAUGAAUCAGACCUAGUGCAAGAGAAAAGUCAAGCUUGCAUAAAGAGGGACUGAAGAUUGUCAGAACCCACAAUCAUCAUCCCAAAAUAUUCCAGAGAAAAUGAUUACAGAAUUUGGUGAAAAUCUCCUUUUUCGUUGUUUUUGGAAGAACAUAGUGACCGGUAAAAUUUACUUUUGCACAUACAAGUCCUUUGAAAACAUGUUUGUGGAAAGAACGAAGUGACUGCAUAGUUUAAUUCAAGACACUUCAAUUUCAGAGGAAAUUAAAUACCGCUGAGGGAAGGUUAAGGUUAAUUAGGUGAAAGUUCUUUAAAAAUACUGCAGAAUCACACUGAACCAUCACGCUGAACAUGCAGGGCCUAAUCCAAAAACUGCUGAGGUCAGUUGGAAUCUUGAUAAUAAUUUUCAUAGGUUUUAUAUUAACCUCGUCUUUAUUUUGUAGAGUUGUAUUACGAUGGCACUUUUUUUUAACCUCAGACUUCCAUACUUCUACUUU
Rhea pennata is the source of this 657-nucleotide long non-coding RNA. RefSeq lists it as uncharacterized. The transcript has 3 exons. Lineage: Eukaryota; Metazoa; Chordata; Aves; Rheiformes; Rheidae. The record is from RefSeq and is a predicted model, not a curated record.